AGCUCCAAGGUGUGACAUAUGAGAUUGCAAAUCUCAAGAAGCAGACUAAUAUCUGCUGGGGCUU
This 64-nucleotide transfer RNA is filed under the name Trichodon trichodon. RNAcentral's name for it is "tRNA-Cys". The record is from RNAcentral. Lineage: Eukaryota; Metazoa; Chordata; Actinopteri; Perciformes; Trichodontidae.